Molecule: long non-coding RNA, 310 nt
Filed under: Monodelphis domestica (gray short-tailed opossum)
Lineage: Eukaryota; Metazoa; Chordata; Mammalia; Didelphimorphia; Didelphidae
Description: lncRNA (ENSMODG00000032845.2)
Source: RNAcentral
CUUACAACUCUAAAAUACCAGAGAAUGAAUUCAAUACCUAUUCUAUCUAAGCAUUCUGGCAAAGAUAUUCACCGAAAACUCCAUAAUGUGGUGAUAUACUGGAAAACUCCUCUGCAAGGACGUUUCUCAAGGGGGGUAAAAAAGGAAGAAAGAAAAGGUAGAAAAUGAACCAGUCAUCUUGAAUAAAACAUCCACAGCUGGAGGGUGAUGACAAUUGAAAAUGAAGCUUCAGGCAUAUUCCCUCAGGAGCUGCCAGGAAAAGAAUUCUCAUUAUCAAAUAGUUGUGAUAUGUUCCCUUCUUUGUUUCACC